GUGGGGAAUAUUGGGCAAUGGGCGAAAGCCUGACCCAGCAACGACGCGUGAAGGAAGAAGGUUUUCGGAUCGUAAACUUCUAUCCUUGGUGAAGAUAAUGACGGUAGCCAAGAAGGAAGCCCCGGCUAACUACGUGCCAGCAGCCGCGGUAAUACGUAGGGGGCAAGCGUUGUCCGGAAUGAUUGGGCGUAAAGGGCGCGUAGGCGGCCCGGUAAGUCUGAAGUGAAAGUCCUGCUUUUAAGGUGGGAAUUGCUUUGGAUACUGUCGGGCUUGAGUGCAGGAGAGGUAAGCGGAAUUCCCGGUGUAGCGGUGAAAUGCGUAGAGAUCGGGAGGAACACCAGUGGCGAAGGCGGCUUACUGGACUGUAACUGACGCUGAGGCGCGAAAGUGUGGGGAGCAAACAGGAUUAGAUACCCCAGUAGUCC
RNAcentral lists this ribosomal RNA (425 nucleotides) under uncultured bacterium. Its description in RNAcentral is "partial 16S ribosomal RNA". It matches the Rfam family "Bacterial small subunit ribosomal RNA", at positions 354 to 796 of the family's 1533-position model. The record is from RNAcentral.